This 70-nucleotide transfer RNA is filed under the name Trichogaster fasciata (banded gourami). RNAcentral's name for it is "tRNA-Ile". It matches the Rfam family "tRNA". From Rfam's summary of the family: Transfer RNA (tRNA) molecules are approximately 80 nucleotides in length. Lineage: Eukaryota; Metazoa; Chordata; Actinopteri; Anabantiformes; Osphronemidae. The record is from RNAcentral.
GGAGCUGUGCCUGAAGUAAAGGACCACUUUGAUGUAGUGAAUCAUGAGGGUUAAAGUCCCUCCAACUCCU